UACAGAGACGUCGAGCGUUGUUCGGAUUCAUUGGGCGUAAAGGGUGCGUAGGCGGUGAGGUAAGUCGGAUGUGAAAUCCCAAAGCUUAACUUUGGAAGUGCAUCCGAAACUGCCUUGCUCGAGGACUGGAAGGGAGACUGGAAUUCUCGGUGUAGCGGUGAAAUGCGUAGAUAUCGAGAGGAACACCAGUGGCGAAGGCGGGUCUCUGGACAGUUCCUGACGCUGAGGCACGAAAGCCAGGGGAGCAAACGGG
Molecule: ribosomal RNA, 253 nt
Filed under: uncultured prokaryote
Description: partial 16S ribosomal RNA
Rfam family: Bacterial small subunit ribosomal RNA
Source: RNAcentral